GCCGCAGUAACAACUGAAUUACAGACUAAUUCAACACAUAAAAGCAACAGUGUGCAUCUUUACCAGUGACAACCAUCUUGGAUAUCCCCAGUUCAGUUGGCGGUCUCAAAAAUCUCUACUAUAUGAAAUUGAACAACAACGGCUUACCUGAUUCACUAGCCAUCAUUGGUGGCCUUUAUCUUGUAUAGUUGUCGGAUUGCCACAGCAAGGACACCGUCAACUUCCGCUGCCUCGACAAGAAUCUCAGACAUGUACUCCCCUUUUCUUCAUGUACUCCAGCAUCUUGAUCAUCUAGGGCAUCCAUUUGUUCAUACUGCUCAUCUACUGAUGGACUGAAAUUGAGAUCCUGGAGGACCAUAUUGAUGUGUUGAAUCAAUAAUUAUUGUUACAGGGCUCGGGAGAAUUGCUGAAUCACGGCGAGGCUGCUGCAACU
Molecule: long non-coding RNA, 433 nt
Organism: Lolium rigidum
Lineage: Eukaryota; Viridiplantae; Streptophyta; Magnoliopsida; Poales; Poaceae
Exons: 3
Source: RefSeq, a predicted model, not a curated record